AGCAGCAGCCGCGGUAAUACAGAGGGUGCGAGCGUUAAUCGGAUUUACUGGGCGUAAAGCGUGCGUAGGCGGCUAAUUGAGUCGGAUGUGAAAUCCCCGAGCUUAACUUGGGAAUUGCAUUCGAUACUGGUUAGCUAGAGUGUGGGAGAGGAUGGUAGAAUUCCAGGUGUAGCGGUGAAAUGCGUAGAGAUCUGGAGGAAUACCGAUGGCGAAGGCAGCCAUCUGGCCUAACACUGACGCUGAGGUACGAAAGCAUGGGGAGCAAACAGGAUUAGAUACCCCCGUAGUCCCUGUCUCUUAUAC
RNAcentral lists this ribosomal RNA (303 nucleotides) under uncultured bacterium. Its description in RNAcentral is "partial 16S ribosomal RNA". It matches the Rfam family "Bacterial small subunit ribosomal RNA", at positions 507 to 807 of the family's 1533-position model. The record is from RNAcentral.